AUUGAACGCUGGCGGCAUGCCUUACACAUGCAAGUCGAACGGCAGCACGGGAGCAAUCCUGGUGGCGAGUGGCGAACGGGUGAGUAAUACAUCGGAACGUGCCCAGUAGUGGGGGAUAACCCGGCGAAAGCCGGACUAAUACCGCAUACGACCUACGGGUGAAAGCGGGGGAUCGCAAGACCUCGCGCUAUCGGAGCGGCCGAUGUCAGAUUAGCUAGUUGGUGGGGUAAAGGCCUACCAAGGCGACGAUCUGUAGCUGGUCUGAGAGGACGACCAGCCACACUGGGACUGAGACACGGCCCAGACUCCUACGGGAGGCAGCAGUGGGGAAUUUUGGACAGUGGGCGCAAGCCUGAUCCAGCCAUGCCGCGUGCGGGAAGAAGGCCUUCGGGUUGUAAACCGCUUUUGUCAGGGAAGAAACGCUCCGGGCUAAUACCACGGAGUAAUGACGGUACCUGAAGAAUAAGCACCGGCUAACUACGUG
RNAcentral lists this ribosomal RNA (484 nucleotides) under uncultured bacterium. RNAcentral's name for it is "partial 16S ribosomal RNA". It matches the Rfam family "Bacterial small subunit ribosomal RNA", at positions 29 to 507 of the family's 1533-position model. The record is from RNAcentral.